AGUGAACGCUGGCGGUAGGCCUAACACAUGCAAGUCGAACGGCAGCACAGUAAGAGCUUGCUCUUACGGGUGGCGAGUGGCGGACGGGUGAGGAAUACAUCGGAAUCUACUUUUUCGUGGGGGAUAACGUAGGGAAACUUACGCUAAUACCGCAUACGACCUACGGGUGAAAGCAGGGGAUCUUCGGACCUUGCGCGAUUGAAUGAGCCGAUGUCGGAUUAGCUAGUUGGCGGGGUAAAGGCCCACCAAGGCGACGAUCCGUAGCUGGUCUGAGAGGAUGAUCAGCCACACUGGAACUGAGACACGGUCCAGACUCCUACGGGAGGCGGCAGUGGGGAAUAUUGGACAAUGGGCGCAAGCCUGAUCCAGCCAUACCGCGUGGGUGAAGAAGGCCUUCGGGUUGUAAAGCCCUUUUGUUGGGAAAGAAAAGCAGCAGGUUAAUACCCCGCUGUUCUGACGGUACCCAAAAAAUAAGCACCGGCUAACUUCGUG
This 492-nucleotide ribosomal RNA is filed under the name uncultured bacterium. RNAcentral's name for it is "partial 16S ribosomal RNA". It matches the Rfam family "Bacterial small subunit ribosomal RNA", at positions 29 to 507 of the family's 1533-position model. The record is from RNAcentral.